Molecule: ribosomal RNA, 301 nt
Filed under: uncultured bacterium
Lineage: Bacteria
Description: partial 16S ribosomal RNA
Rfam family: Bacterial small subunit ribosomal RNA
Source: RNAcentral
CAGUCGCCGCGGGAAUACGUAGGGCGCAAGCGUUGUCCGGAAUUAUUGGGCGUAAAGAGCUCGUAGGCGGUCUGUCGCGUCUGGUGUGAAAUCCCGAGGCUCAACCUCGGGCUUGCAUCGGGUACGGGCAGACUAGAGUGCGGUAGGGGAGACUGGAAUUCCUGGUGUAGCGGUGGAAUGCGCAGAUAUCAGGAGGAACACCGAUGGCGAAGGCAGGUCUCUGGGCCGCAACUGACGCUGAGGAGCGAAAGCAUGGGGAGCGAACAGGAUUAGAUACCCCGGUAGUCCCUGUCUCUUAUAA